Non-coding RNA from Trichobilharzia regenti, 73 nucleotides. NCBI's taxonomy places the organism in Eukaryota, Metazoa, Platyhelminthes, Trematoda, Strigeidida, Schistosomatidae. The record is from Rfam.
GCGUCGGUGGUAUAGCGGUUAAGACGCUCGCCGACCAUGCAUAUGGUCCUGGGUUCGAUUCCCGGCCGGCGCA